UCAGAAGAGAAAUAAUGCAUUGUUUUUUACUUGCAGAAAAAUUAGACACUAUGUGUCCAUUAUCAGAGUGUGCAAUGGCAACAAUAAGGCUGAGAAAAUAUCCGAAUGUGUUCAGUCUGACAGUCAUACAGGUACGGUGUCCCAUAUUUAUUCUUAGAGUUCAUUGAGUUUUUGGAGAAAAAUAAAAA
Molecule: small RNA, 188 nt
Filed under: Pongo abelii (Sumatran orangutan)
Lineage: Eukaryota; Metazoa; Chordata; Mammalia; Primates; Hominidae
Description: retained intron
Source: RNAcentral